GACCGGGAAUCGAAUCAGACACCUUCACCAUGGCUUUGCUUUGUAGCCGCGGACUUCAACCAUUUGGCUAAGGAGGCCCCAAUUCUGGUAAAUAUCAUUGAAAUUUCCCUUGAAGCAUCCCUGGAAAAUUAUGUGAACACUUCCAUGGAAAAUUUCUCAAAGGAUGCUUGAUUGUUUAAGUUGUUUUUAGUAAUAAUCCUGAUAGAAAUCUCAAAGAAAUCCAGUACAAAAAUGUUGUACAAAAUCCCUGGAUACUUCUCUGGAGAAAUUACUGGCUGACUUUUGGAAAAUGUCCUAUACGGGAGAAAUAUCUAGGAAAAUCGAUGAAAGAAUCACUGGAUAAAUUUCUGAAGGAUUUCGUAUAUUUUUGAAAAUUACUGGAAGGGUCUUUGGAGCAAUGUACUUGAUAUUUCGGGCGGUAGAAAUUUCAAGGUUGAACUCUUGAAGGUUUCUUAGAAUUCUUGGACGAAUUUCUUAAAACGUCCGUAAAAUCACUAAAUAAACUUCUGAAGAAAUCUUUUGAGUAAUUUCUGGUCAUAUUCCUGGCGAAAAUCAUAAAAAAAUACAUCAAGUAAUACCUACUUGUCGUAAUGUCUCGAGGCAUUCCAAAAAUCCGAAAAAUUCUUAGAUAAAUGUCUGCUCAGAUUAUAUUAGGCAUCAAACUCUUAUCGUCUUAUUCCUGUUUGGUAUCUUUUUUCAGGUCAUAGGUUUCUAAAUUUCCUAUUUUUGAGACAUUCAAUUGCUACUAGCCAUGCAGUCACUAUGUAGUUUCUGUUCGAGAACUAGCAGAGUCAGAUCCAGGUUCGGGAGCGAAAAUGAAACACGUAUUUACUACUGAAAGGCUACACCACUGACUAAACUGACGUGGUGGCUAGAGCAUUUUGCUUCAUGAAUAAUGACCAAAUAUUUGAAUGAAAAUACGUUGGAACACUAACUCCACCUGGUGGUUUUUGUAAAGAAACACUUUGACGGACAAAUCUUUAGCACUCCGAGGAAAAACUACACAUGUUCGGGUAAAAAUACGAGGAAUAUAUUUAAUCAUAUUUGGGAUAUAGAGAAUACAAAAAUCUAAGCUUUCCUUCACGAAAUAAAAUUGUCUUGACUCAAAUAUAUUGCUUUAGAAUCAGACUUACAUGAUUGUCGAUAGUUUUGACAAAACUAAAAUGCAUCAUACGAAAUUGAUUUAGUUUAUUUUAGAUUUAGUAUUUUACUCAUACCUUACUAGUUUGAAACCAGUGUGUAUUGUUUGGUUUGAGCAGUUUGGCAGUUCCAUCUGCUUAGAUUUGUUUACUGUAUAUAAAAAUACACAAACUAGGAAGAUCAAAGUUGAAUAUUACGUGAUUAUUACCUGUUACCUGAGUGAAAAUGAAAUAAGCCUGAAAUGAACCCCAAAAGUUGUUAAAAAACGAGAAAAACCCGCAGCAGCGCAAUCAACAAGAGCAUCUAGCUGUAAACAAAAAACGAAGAUAGAGCUUCUGUGGCAAGUCGAAUUCAACAAAAGGUUCACUUUGCUGACAAAGCUGCUAAGUUUCCGGAUAGCAUUCUGGAACGAUUCUCAACCACUUCCAGAAGAGCAGAGAGGGAACCGUUUUGGGUGAAACUACCUCCGUGGAUCAUCAACUAAGGCGCAAGCGAAAUUCAAACAUCGUUCCUGUAGUGGUGAUAAAAGCUGUCCACCUUCAGGAUGGUUACCCCGUCGUUAUCCAAACUUCCGCCGUGGAAGCAGGUUGUGGUGGUGAUUCGGGCAGCGAAUUUCAGUGAAGUCGUUCCCAGAGCUCCCGAGUGAAGUUACCAAGUGUUUGGGAGAAAUCUCAGAUGAUGAUUUGGGAAUGGCAAAACACAAUUUACGGAAGAAACCUGAAGGGAUUCCUUCCUUCAUCAGUCUUCUCAUCCCACUGCAACUGCCGAUAAUUCCAGGCCUAAUCACCACCAAUUUAGCCUAGUGGUAAGUCGUCGGACUGUUAAUCCGGAGGUGCGGAUUUGAUGCCCGUUGGUGGAGAAAAAGCUUUUCGCAGCUGUUUGAGACGAGGUCUGUACUUGCCCUAUAAGAUACAAAUUCAUAGAAUCAGUGCUCUGUGGAAGUGCUCAUAAGAACACUAAGGGGUCAUCCAUAAAGUACGUCACGCUAUUA
Aedes aegypti (yellow fever mosquito) is the source of this 2131-nucleotide long non-coding RNA. RefSeq lists it as uncharacterized. The record is from RefSeq and is a predicted model, not a curated record. Lineage: Eukaryota; Metazoa; Arthropoda; Insecta; Diptera; Culicidae. The transcript has 3 exons.